CCCAUGAAGUGUGAGGCACUUUUAAGUGUAAAUAAUGACAAGGAGACAAACAUUUUCUUAAUUUUAAGGACUUAAAGAACAUCCUUGAAUAGUAAUACAGGAAGGCAAAUGUACUUAAUGCAUUGUAAUGAAUCAGAGCAUGAAAAAAAAUCAGUGAAGACUUGUGACAGGUGAAAUCUUAGAUCUGCCAGAAUAAUUAGGAAAAGGCCAUUUAUAUUUUCAAGUGCAGAUUUAAUGCUACAUAGGGGUUCUCUUAUUAAAGUGUAAAUAGAAAUUCUGAACCACUGACAUACUUAAUCGCACCCUACUUUUCACUACCAGGGGAAAAGUAGCAGUUUUAAACAAUCAGAAAGGUACUUCACAGAAUGUAUUUCAUUCAUGGUACCAUGUGUUGUCUAAAGUUCCAGAUUCAACAUAAUAAUUUAGAGCAGGUAUUUUAUUAACAAGUGAACACCCAUAUAUCUACAAUAUCCAUUAACUGAAUGAAACCUUCUCUAAGUCUUCUUUACUUUAUUUUUCAGUUUCUAAAAAUACAUAUAACAAACAAUACCCAUAAUAGAUUACUGAACAAACUGACAGGCCUUUGCUCUUAAGAUCUUAAAGAUACAGUAAUAUAUAUCGUGAGAUUGUGUGCAAAGCCUCUCCUCCUCCCAGAGGGGAGGUAUUGUGAGUGGGAGCCGUUCCUGUGUCGGCAGGGGUGUGUGUUCAGCCCCCUGCAUCAUCACCCUGCUGCCGCACCACCCUCCGGCUGGCCAGCCAAUAGGGUUGGCCCAGGGGCGGGGUUUAGCUGCAUUCAAGCGGCCACGGCAGCCUCCGCGCCUCAUUCAGCUGCUUGGAGGACGUUGGAUCGUACAUGUAUAUGUUGUGUGAUCCAAUGCCUAAGCCAAUACCACUCACAUGCCAUAAUUAAUAAAAGUUGUGGCCUUUUCAGCCCAUUAACCUAAAUAAUUGUGUCCUUGUCUCUUAUUCACCACUACGCGGGUGCAGGUCCUCGACUCACAAAAGGGGUUGCAGAACAGGAGAGAGGAGGAAACAUGGAAUUUUUUGGGGGGGUGGGGGGUAUUAUGAUAUUGGGAGUUUUAUUUUCAAUUCCUUUCCUAAUGAUUCCUAGCAUGGAAUUUGACUUUUUCACAGCUGCCACACAUUGAGUUGACCUCUUCAUUGAGCUAUUCACUAUGACCCCAAAGGCUCAUUCACAGUUUAUCAGCACCUCAUAAGCGCAUAUGUGAUAUUAAUAUCUUUUGCCCUGGUCAUUGUAUGCAUCCACACUGAUUUACAUUUGCGUGUUCAGAGCUUUAAACCUCCCCCUUAAAUAAAUUCAGAUAAGACUCAAAUUUUGGUUUGGUUUUUGGCAGAAUUUAGGCCACAACUUUAUUGAUUACAGCAAGUGAGUGGCUGCAUAGGGUCUGGUUCGACUAGCUCCCUGCACCAUUGCAGGUAGUGCUGACCCAGGGUACCAGCAUAGGUCAGCCUAGGGUGAACACCUGGAUCAGUGGAAAACCAGGAACAGGCCAUCUCCGCCACCCUAAUACCCCCCUGGACUCAGGCACGGGCACAACCCCCUCACAGGGGUUGACCAAACCAUCGAGUCCCUUGAUUCCUUUUAUGGAAUACCCUUCACAUAGGGAUGGUGAGAGCAUUCUCCCAUCCCUAUCACCUGAACCACAGCCUAUCCGCAACCUUACAAGUUGUGAUGAUUUGCUACGCGGCAGUCGAAUCCCAAAUGGCAUCAGCCAAGUGGGGAAAAUUCCUGCUGUGGCCCUGUCCCAACAACAGACGACACACGACGGCAUAGCAAGGUCAAGCUCACAAGCCCUAAAAAUAGGGAGAGGUGGGCGGGUGUUCCAAUGCACGCACCGAAAGAGGAAGCUCUGGGUCACGUGCAUAGGCAUAUAUAGGUCCCUUGAUCCAUUUAGCCUGCGUCCCAUUGGCCUGAUUAAACCCUGUAUCAAGGGACCUACCAAUUGGGUGUUGUGGCUAACCAAUCUUACCCACCCACAAUGCAGGGUUUGGUUGCCAGGUCUCACCGCAACACGUGCCCUCUUUAAGGGAGGACCCUAUUUGCCAUUUUGUUGCCCAUUUACUCAGCUUUGAGAAGUUCUUUUGGAACACUUUUUGUUUUAACCACCCUGAACAAUUUAGUAUCAUCAGCAAACAUGGCUACCUCACUACUAACUCCUAAUACUAGAUUGUUUAUUAACAAGUUAAAAGGCACUGAUUCUAAUACUCAUUGCAACAUAAGGAAAGUGGUUUUCCUCAAGGAUGAGUAUUAGAAUCAUUUAUUCCCACUCUCUGCUUCCUGCUCUUUAACCAGUUAUAGGCACCUCUUCUCUAAUUCUAUGAUUACUAGCUUACUUAGGACUUUUUGGUGAUAUACUUUGCCGAAAGCUUUCUGAAAGUCCAAGUACACAGUGUCAUGUGAAUCACCUCUGCCUAUAUGCUUGUUGACACUCUCAUAGAAAUCUUAUAGGUUAGUGAGACAGGACUUACCUUUGCAUAAGCCAUACUGUUUCUGCUUCAUUUGACUUAGAAGAGGCAUCCUGUUUUUUUGUCUUUUAUUUCCCAAUAUUAAGGAGAAUAUUUUCAUGGAAAAUCUUUCACUACAUGUUGGGCUUUGUAAUCUACUAAUGCAUAACAGUAGUUUUUGCUCUCAAUUCUACUGUGUCAAGGGUUAAAAUCCAUAAAAAUAAAGAUCGUAACCAUUAAACCAUGGCAGAUUUCCCGCUCCCCAAUAAUGCAAAUAGUUUGUUGCCUCAAAAUUGACUUCUGAAUAAUUUCAGUAGCAAAUCAAUUAAUUUCUGCUUUAUUUGCUUCCCAACUCUGCACAAAAGGGUUGCUUAAGAGAUUUCUUAACUAUAGUGAAAAACAGCAUUGGGAAGGAUUUUGAUUUGCUUCAAUAACUAAUGUUUGUCUUAUCAACAGCUACGUGGUUUAUUUUUCAUCUUACAUAAUGCAUAUGCAAUCAGAAUGCCUACUUUGAUAGAUAAAUGCCUAGGAAGAAAUCAAAUUGGCUAAUAAAUAAUACUAAAUUUAAGGAUUUCAUUCGGAGCUAAAUUGUCAUGGAUUAUUAACUGUACUAACUAAUGGCUUGUUUAUGUUACUGCUUAAAUAAUUAAAAACCUUUCUUAAUAGUAGUACAAGAUGACUUAGAGAUGGAUGGACAUGCAUAUAAAAAUGGACUUUUUUACCUACAAAAGGACAUUUUGGGAAAGGUGGCUUUUUAACAUUUGAAACUUGUUCACCAGUGUUAGGAAGAAGAUGGCUCACUAUACAAGGGUAGUUGUUUAACUAUUGUUAGUUAAGCAUCCUAGCAACUGGUAUUUCCAAAGAAAGUUAUUAAGAGUGCUUGUCAAUUAUAGGUCCAAAUUCUCUGCAUGAAAGCUAAGGCAUGAGUGUCUAUGAACUUUGCAGUAAUUCACAUACAGUAUUUUUAUAGCCCCCCCCCCACCUCUCUCUGCCCCCCUCUCUCUGUGUGUGUAAAAAUAAUUUCCCCUUAAUGCAUGAAGGUUGGAAGCAGUAUCAGCCAGAAUGUCUGUACUUUGUCUUCAUGUACAGAAUGCAGCAGGUAUCCAUGAGAAAAGUGCAGUUGUUUAAGCUCCCAUAAAUGUGGUCCUAGGAAAUAGAGGGCUUUGGAUUGUGUAUAUGUGAGUUGAUCUGUAUAUAAGUAUACAGG
Non-coding RNA from Podarcis lilfordi (Lilford's wall lizard), 3673 nucleotides. NCBI's taxonomy places the organism in Eukaryota, Metazoa, Chordata, Lepidosauria, Squamata, Lacertidae. The record is from the annotation of a GenBank genome assembly.